AAGUUUACAAAUUUGUGUUGGACCACAUUCAAAGCUGUCCUGGGUGGCAUGAGAACCAUGGGCUGAGGAUUGGACAAGCUUGCUCUACAAUAUUCACAGAGCCAGAUUUCCUUCUGCACCAGAGCCUGUGGAAGCGCCACAGUGGAAGCAGCAGAGACUGGAAGAGCAGGCAAGAAGCUGGGAGCUUUGCACUGAACCAGGAAGUCACCACAGCUCUUAGGCAAAGACCCGGAAAGGUGUCAACAUGGCCACACUACUGCUCCCACCUUGUCCUUACUUUCCUCAUCUCAUCCCACAGGCCACAGAUCAGCCCUGGGGUUCAGAGGGAUCCUGACAGCUACUCCUCAAGAUCCUCUCUGUUGUGAUUCAUCCCCCCGGGGCCCUACAGUUUCUCCUUCCUGACUCUUACAUUUCUUUGGAUGGCAUCAUUAUUUACCUGUCUCCUCCCAUAGUUAGGUGCCAAGCACUGUGGAUUCUGCCUCUCAGUGUCCAGACACCCAUUUUCCUUCCCACUGUUCCUUCCCCAUGGAGAAGCCUGUGGCUGGCUGACAGCAGAGAGAGAUGCUCAACUUGGAGAAGGUGUUACCUGGGCCAGGUGGGGAAGGUUUGUUUGCAGAGCAAAGAAGUGAAGGAAGUAUUAACCCUUUGCAUGGCCUCCUGAGAAUCCGACAAGACGUAAAUAGCCAAGAAUAUCUGUGAAACUUCAUCACUGAGUUACAAUAUUUAUCACUGCAAGUGUGUUGUUCAUUGACACUAUAAAGCCAUGUGGAAUUAAGCAGCCUUGAAACACAAAAUGGAGAAAGGCUAAGAGCUGAGAAUUGUUGCCUUCAGGGAAAUACAAUC
This 843-nucleotide long non-coding RNA is filed under the name Homo sapiens (human). RNAcentral describes it as "MYO3B antisense RNA 1". Lineage: Eukaryota; Metazoa; Chordata; Mammalia; Primates; Hominidae. The record is from RNAcentral.